CUGCUCAGAACGAACGCUGGCGGCAGGCUUAACACAUGCAAGUCGAGCGCCCCGCAAGGGGAGCGGCAGACGGGUGAGUAACGCGUGGGAAUCUACCCUUUUCUACGGAAUAACGCAGGGAAACUUGUGCUAAUACCGUAUGUGUCCUUCGGGAGAAAGAUUUAUCGGGAAAGGAUGAGCCCGCGUUGGAUUAGCUAGUUGGUGGGGUAAAGGCCUACCAAGGCGACGAUCCAUAGCUGGUCUGAGAGGAUGAUCAGCCACAUUGGGACUGAGACACGGCCCAAACUCCUACGGGAGGCAGCAGUGGGGAAUAUUGGACAAUGGGCGCAAGCCUGAUCCAGCCAUGCCGCGUGAGUGAUGAAGGCCCUAGGGUUGUAAAGCUCUUUCACCGGAGAAGAUAAUGACG
RNAcentral lists this ribosomal RNA (406 nucleotides) under Martinezella lusitana. Its description in RNAcentral is "bacterial SSU rRNA". It matches the Rfam family "Bacterial small subunit ribosomal RNA", at positions 20 to 456 of the family's 1533-position model. Lineage: Bacteria; Pseudomonadati; Pseudomonadota; Alphaproteobacteria; Hyphomicrobiales; Rhizobiaceae. The record is from RNAcentral.